ACCUGGCUGGCUCAGUCAGUAGAGCAUGUGACUCCUGAUCUCAGGGUUGUGGGUUCAAGCCCCACAUUGGGUG
Molecule: non-coding RNA, 73 nt
Organism: Lynx canadensis (Canada lynx)
Lineage: Eukaryota; Metazoa; Chordata; Mammalia; Carnivora; Felidae
Source: the annotation of a RefSeq genome assembly